RNAcentral lists this ribosomal RNA (418 nucleotides) under uncultured bacterium. RNAcentral's name for it is "bacterial SSU rRNA". It matches the Rfam family "Archaeal small subunit ribosomal RNA", at positions 325 to 747 of the family's 1478-position model. The record is from RNAcentral.
ACGGGGCGCAGCAGGCGCGAAAACUUUACAAUGCAGGAAACUGUGAUAAGGGAACCCCGAGUGCCCGUAUACGCGGGCUGUCCGGGUGUAUAAAAAGCAUCUGAAGAAAGGGCCGGGCAAGACCGGUGCCAGCCGCCGCGGUAAUACCGGCGGCUCGAGUGGUGACCACUUUUAUUGGGCUUAAAGCGUUCGUAGCUGGACUCUUAAGUCUCUUGGGAAAUCCCGCGGCUCAACCGUGGGGCGUUUAAGAGAUACUGGGAGUCUAGGAACCGGGAGAGGUAAGAGGUACUUCGGGGGUAGAAGUGAAAUUCUGUAAUCCUCGAGGGACCACCGAUGGCGAAGGCAUCUUACCAGAACGGCUUCGACAGUGAGGAACGAAAGCUGGGGGAGCGAACGGGAUUAGAUACCCCUGUAGUCC